AUGAAGUUCGGCAAGGAUUUCCGGAGCCACCUGGAGGGCACGCUGCCGGACUGGAAGGACAAGUACCUCGCCUACAAGGCGCUCAAGAAGCUCAUCAAGACGCUGCCGCCCGACGCCCUCGCCGCCGACCAGCCGCCGCCCCCGCCUCCCCUGCCCCCGCCCGGGCGCGGUGACGGCGGCCUCGGGGACUGGUUCGCCCGGAUCCUCGACGUCGAGCUCCACAAGCUCAACGACUUCUACAUGGAGAGGGAGGAGUGGUACGUCAUCCGCCUCCAGGUGCUAAAGGAGAGGAUUGAGCGAGUCAAAGCUAAGAAGAAUGGUGCUUUUACAUCCAAAACUGAGUUCACUGAAGAAAUGUUAGAGAUACGUAGAGAUUUCGUGCUUAUCCACGGCGAAAUGAUACUUCUACAGACCUACAGCUCCCUGAAUUUUGCUGGGCUGGUGAAGAUACUGAAGAAGUAUGACAAAAGAACAGGCGGCGUUCUCAGCCUACCUUUCACUCAGCGAGCUCGCCACCAACCAUUUUUCACCACUGAGCCGUUAACAAGACUUGUUCGAGAAUGUGAGGCUAAUCUUGAAAUCCUUUUCCCUGUCGAAGAUGAAGUACUCGAGUCUGGUUCCUCUUCAAAGGCUCACAAUGAUGCGGCUAGUCGUGACCCAGCUUCAUCUUGCGACGCAGAAACCUCAGAGGUGUACCGAAGCACACUCGCAGCAAUGAAAGCGAUAGAGGGCCUCAAGAAAGCCAGCUCUACUUACAAUGCCCUGUCUCUCGCUAGGUUCUUCCAUGGAGAGGAUGGUGAAGCUUGUUCGGGCGCCAUAACUUCUGAGAGCUCGCUGUCAAAUUCCUUGACAGAUUCCCAGGUUGAAGAUGCAGAUAAGGACGAUAAGGAGGUGCAAUCAAAGGAGCAGAGCUCUGCUCAGACUGACCAUAACGCGGAAGCGGAGCGACGCGGUGGAUAA
Molecule: ribosomal RNA, 960 nt
Filed under: Triticum aestivum (bread wheat)
Lineage: Eukaryota; Viridiplantae; Streptophyta; Magnoliopsida; Poales; Poaceae
Description: partial small subunit ribosomal RNA
Source: RNAcentral